RNAcentral lists this ribosomal RNA (430 nucleotides) under Pseudomonadota bacterium. RNAcentral's name for it is "Proteobacteria bacterium partial 16S ribosomal RNA". It matches the Rfam family "Bacterial small subunit ribosomal RNA", at positions 355 to 776 of the family's 1533-position model. Lineage: Bacteria; Pseudomonadati; Pseudomonadota. The record is from RNAcentral.
UGGGGAAUAUUGGACAAUGGGGGGGACCCUGAUCCAGCCAUGCCGCGUGUGUGAAGAAGGCCUUAUGGUUGUAAAGCACUUUAAGCGAGGAGGAGGGUACUGGUAUUAAUACUACCAGCUACUGGACGUUACUCGCAGAAUAAGCACCGGCUAACUCUGUGCCAGCAGCCGCGGUAAUACAGAGGGUGCGAGCGUUAAUCGGAUUUACUGGGCGUAAAGCGUGCGUAGGCGGCUAAUUGAGUCGGAUGUGAAAUCCCCGAGCUUAACUUGGGAAUUGCAUUCGAUACUGGUUAGCUAGAGUGUGGGAGAGGAUGGUAGAAUUCCAGGUGUAGCGGUGAAAUGCGUAGAGAUCUGGAGGAAUACCGAUGGCGAAGGCAGCCAUCUGGCCUAACACUGACGCUGAGGUACGAAAGCAUGGGGAGCAAACAGG